GAAAUGCGAUAAGUAAUGUGAAUUGCAGAAUUCAGUGAAUCAUCGAAUCUUUGAACGCACAUUGCACCCCUUGGUAUUCCGGGGGGUAUGCCUGUUCGAGCGUCAUAGCAACUAUCAAGCCUGGCUUGGUCUUGGAUGUUGCCUGUGGGCGCGUCUCAAAGCGAGUGGCGGUGCCGCCCAGUCCCCAAGCGCAGUAAGUUUCUCGCUCUGGGAGGUGGGUGCUGUGCCUGCAGAACCCUCAUUCUUAAAUUUUGACCUCGGAUCAGGUAGGGAUACCCGCUGAACUUAA
RNAcentral lists this unclassified non-coding RNA (289 nucleotides) under uncultured Ascomycota. RNAcentral's name for it is "sequence contains ITS1". The stretch from base 1 to 105 matches the Rfam family "5.8S ribosomal RNA", at positions 50 to 154 of the family's 154-position model. Lineage: Eukaryota; Fungi; Ascomycota. The record is from RNAcentral.